This is a long non-coding RNA of Bombus terrestris (buff-tailed bumblebee), 331 nucleotides long. RefSeq lists it as uncharacterized. Lineage: Eukaryota; Metazoa; Arthropoda; Insecta; Hymenoptera; Apidae. The record is from RefSeq and is a predicted model, not a curated record. The transcript is spliced from 3 exons.
UUUGUCGCAUCUCGUGUUGCGACACGAGAAGUAGACGAACGAGCAAUUAAAAUUUACACGGCGAAAAUUCUCACGACCAACGAAUCUCCGAUUUUUCAGAGUCAUGUUCACGAUUAUCCUCGUCGUAUCGGACUAUCUUCGGUACGUUCGAUCGACGCGAAAACACGGAGAUAAUGACACGGGAGAGGUACCAGCAGAAGAGAGUCUGACGAUGAGGGAAAAAUUGCCAAAGGGACAAGGCUUAUCGCACGAUACAAAACGACGGUCACGGCUCUGACACGUAAACUCAUUUAGAUGCGUUACACGCCGCGAAAUAACAUAGCCCGUGCCU